UGAGGUGGGCCUGUAUACAGCUCCUGGAACUUUUCAGCAGCUGGCAAUCGGUGCAAAGUGAAUCCAUCUUCCUCAGAAAUCUGUAAAAGCCUUCUCCAAUUGGAGGUCCCGAUAAGGAACACAGAACUGACGAGCUACCACCAGCCGGAAGAGGGGCCAAAAUGAGGGAGACGCCAGCCCAUAAUAUGUCCUGCCAACCUCCCAGAAAUCCUCACGCUGGAAACCAUCUUGACUGAGAGAUGUAUGCGCUGCCAGGAAUUGGACCAAAUAUGGGCACAAGCAAGAUGAUUAGCCAGAGACAACCUGGAAAGCUAACUCCAUUACCAUAAAACCUGAGACUGCAAGCCACGUGGCAGAGCAGUUCUCCUGAGUUCCUUAUACCCGGCUGUUCUCCGCCCAGGCACCCCUUCCUAGUAAAAUCUUUUGCUUUGUCAGUACAGGUGUCUCCUUGGACAAUUCAAUUCCGAGUGUUAGACAAGAGUCCACUCUUGGGCCCUGGAAGGGGUCCCCCUUACAGUAACAUAACCAUAAAUGAGCCUCUUUUUUUUUCCCUAAGUGCUUGUUGUAUGAAUUUAUUAAUUUCCUCAAAAUACAUGGAAGAGUUUCAAGAAAAUUAUAAUAGUUUGUCUACAAAUUAAUAAGACUACAAUGGAACUGUACAAUAGUCAUAGCGAAAGCAAAGAAGUUAGACAAGAACUUUGAGGUCGCUGUGGAAAUUUAGGCAACAGAGAAACAGGGGGCAACAGACUGGUAGAAAAGUAACAAGGGAGGUCAGCGGACAAAGGAGGAUAUUAUCUUCGAGCUAGAUUAAUAAGAGUAUAAAGGUUUCUAAAAUGCCAGACUUUUCCUUGAGGCAUUAAACCCAUUCACUGCAGAGUAAGCAGGUUUUUAUUACCCCAAAUCUUGAAGCUUCUAAUUGGAUUUUGAUUACUUCUGCCCUCUGAAAAAAGACUUCUUUUAGUCUGCAGAACAUUGGUAGCAUCAAUUCAAAUCUUAUAAAUGGGUUAAUACUUACACUAGAUUUUUUCCUAUUUUAUUCUUUUUUUCUGUCCCAUAACUUUUCAGGGCUAAUGCUUGUGUUAUGCUAAUUCAUCUCCCUGCCUGGACCUUCUCAACCAAGGAUUAACUGCCUAACAGGAACAAUUAGAGCUCUUUUCCUGCUCAUUAAACAAAGGGUACAAAUAUGAAACCAACUUCUUAGGAGACCAGGUACAUAAAGAAAAAAAAAACUGGAAUGAUAGAUAAGCAAAUAUAAUGUUGAUGACUGUUGAUACUAUUAUGAGUACAUGAGGGUUUCAACGUAUUAGUCUGAGAAAAAAAAUAUUGCCUGUCAUAUCAGUAAACAAAGGAUGUCACAGCCAUCAGUCACAGCAGCCACCGCCGAUAGUGAGCCCUGAGGGAACUCGGGAUGGAAACAAGGAAUGCCCCCCAUCUAGCAGUCAUCAGACUGCAGCCACCCCAACAGUGCAGAUUAAGGAAACUCAGGAUGAGAAAACACAGGACACUGGCCCCAGAUA
Molecule: long non-coding RNA, 1517 nt
Organism: Balaenoptera musculus (blue whale)
Lineage: Eukaryota; Metazoa; Chordata; Mammalia; Artiodactyla; Balaenopteridae
Exons: 3
Source: RefSeq, a predicted model, not a curated record